UGACCCCUGUCCUUAUCGCAUUAGCAUUGUUGCUCGGCUUCAACACGCUGUCUGCUGCUUCCGGUAGACAGCAAAUUCUUUUUUGGUGCUUGCUAUUGGUAUGAAUAGUAUACUGCAUAUAGGUUGUGGGUUUGGCCGGUGAUCCGAUAUUGGUGGUGUUGCAGUUGUAGAGGUCCAAGGAUAAGAGAGAGAAAUUCAAGUCAUGUCAUGCCAGUUGAUACAUCAUUAGGCUUGGUAGAGUUUGAAAGCAAUUGUUUGAUAAAAAUCUGUUCAUUGGAUGUUGAUGUUUGUUUUUAUGUCCGUUUUUUAAAUAUAUGUAUUGAGAAUCAUGACAUGCAUGUUUAAAUUUAGUGAGAGAUACAAUUGUAUUUUCUA
Zea mays is the source of this 375-nucleotide long non-coding RNA. RefSeq lists it as uncharacterized. Lineage: Eukaryota; Viridiplantae; Streptophyta; Magnoliopsida; Poales; Poaceae. The record is from RefSeq and is a predicted model, not a curated record. The transcript has 2 exons.